Molecule: long non-coding RNA, 5992 nt
Filed under: Setaria italica (foxtail millet)
Lineage: Eukaryota; Viridiplantae; Streptophyta; Magnoliopsida; Poales; Poaceae
Description: long non-coding RNA (SITA_LNC005590)
Source: RNAcentral
CCUGCUCGUGCUGCAUGUCUAGAACUUUUACCGCCACCGUGAAACCGGUGCUAAGUUGACCUUUAUAGACCUUUCUAAAGCUCCCAGUCCCCAACAGGCUGUCGUCGCUAAAAUUACUGGUGGCAAGGACGAGGUCAUGGUAGGACAGGUGCCUUAUGGUACAUAACAUUGCUAGGAUCAAUGCCAAAAUCUUCAACCUCUCCCUUGUUUUUAAGUUUCUUUCUAAUGGUUUGGUAAAUGAAAAUAACAGUACAACCAAAUGCUAUAGGGACAGAAGGGAGCAGGAAUCUUAGAAAGUGCAUCGUAUUUGAGUGAGGUUUCUCCAUACAUGGAGAGAAUCGUAAACGGGGUAUGCCACAAAGCCCAAUAUUCCCAACCAAAGAUUGCAACGAGAUGUUAGAGAAAAUACCACCCUGUGGUACCUUGCCUUGUAGAUUAUUAAAGGAGAGAUUCAAGGUUUUCAAGAAGGUUAAAUUGGCUAGGAACAUGGGAAUAUUACCGGAGAGAUUAUUGGAGGAGAGGUCCAAUGACUCGAGGCUCCUCAGCUCUUUAAAUGACACGGGAAUAGAGUCCUCAAAUGAAUUGUGUGAUAGAUUUAGAUAGGUGAGCAUGCUUAGUUUCCCAAAUGAUUUGGGGAUGCUUCCAAGCAAAAAGUUGGAGGAAAGGUCAAUUGUAUCCACUUGUUUCAACCCACCAACGUCACUUGGUAGUGGACCAGAAAAGGAAUUGAUAGAAAGAUCUAGGGUUAUAAUUUUGUCAAGGUGGAACAAACAUGCCGGUAUAGUUGAAUUGAAUUGGUUCUCGAACAAGUAGAUGUAUUCUAGCAUGGUAAGAUUUCCGAUGCUAUCAGGUAUACAGCCAUGAAAUCUAUUUCCAUCGAUAAUAAGCUUUUGUAACUUGCUGAGCAUACCAAUUUGUGCCGGGAUAGUCCCUAGCAUGUCAUUAUGAGAGACGUCAAGCCAAACGAGAUUUUGCAUCCUCGUGAUAGAUUCUGGGAUCUCUCCUGUGAGCUGGUUGUUGGCAAGAUAAAUCCACUCAAGACUGCUCAAGUUUGACAGUGAGGAUGGAAGCCCACCUGUUAGCUUGUUGUCACCAAGUCCAAACUCAAAUAAUUGUGCAGACAGAUUCCCCAUAGUAUCAGGGAUUCGUCCGGUGAAAGAAUUAUCAUAUAGGUCAAGGUUUUGGAGUCGCAUACAGUUGGAAAGAGAUGACAAGAAGUUAAGAUUCCCACUCAAAUUAUUAUGUUGCAGUUGUAGCCAGAUUAGAGUUUGGAUGCUCCCAAAUAUUGCUGGUACAGGUCCAGACAAUGAAUUAUUAAACAAUACUAGGUGAGACAGUUUUGAUAAAUUUCCAAGAGAAGGUGGAAUUGGACCUGUUAGCAAAUUCACUCCGAGAUGCAAAUACGAGAGUUCUUGCAUGAGGCCUAAUUCUUCUUGAAUCUCUCCAGUCAGGUUGUUGAAAUCAAGGCCAAGUAUAUUGAGAUGGGUGAGAUUGCUAAAAACAGCUGGGACAGAGCCAUGUAAGGAAUUAGCACCCAAGGAUAGACGGUAAGUUGUUGCAAUUGAGCCAACCAGGUUGGCACAACAUCGACAAAAAAAUUGUAUGACAAGGAGAUCACUUGCAGGUGUUGGCACGAUGCAAGACCAGAUGGAAUUCGACCAACAAAGUUAUUCGUACUAAGGGUAAUCCAUUGUAGCAUCGGAAGACUGAAACUUUGAUUAUUGUUCGGAAUCGGCCCAGUUAAACUGUUUGAUUCGAAUCCAAUUACUUGCAGCCUAGACAUGUUAUAAAUGGUUGGGGGUACUGUGCCAGUGAGCUGAUUGCAUCCCAGGGACAAGUACUCAAGCAUGGGUAGUGAGCCUAUUCUAUGGGGUAUUGGACCUGAUAGGCUAUUCUUUCCGAGGUCGAUUUGCUUGAGGGAAGGUGUGUUAUUGAACAGAUACAGUGGUAUGUUGCCACUCAAGUCAUUCCAUGCUAGAUAAAACCACUCAAGAUUUCUCAUGCUCUGCGGUAACCGUUGUGGAAUCUCUCCAGUCAGGUUGUUGAAAGAAAGGUCAAGUACAGUAAGACGGGUGAGAUUGCUAAGAACAGCUGGGACAGAGCCAUGUAAGGCAUUAGCACGCAAGUUUAGAUAGGUAAGCAUGGGCAGUGAGCCCAUUCCUUGGGGUAUUGGACCUGAUAGGCUAUUGUUUGAGAGGUUGAUGUGGUUGAGGGAAGGUGUGUUAUUGAACAGAUACAAUGGUAUGUUGCCACUCAACUCAUUCCAUGCUAGAGUAAACCACUGAAGGUUUCUCAUGCUUUGCAGUAACCGUGGUGGAAUCUGCCCCGAGAGGGUGUUGUUACUUAGGCGAAGAAACUCGAGGCUUUUGAGGUUUCCUAUGGUACUAGGAAUGGCGCCUGAGAGGUCAUUUCCAUACAGAUCUAGGACCCUAAGCCGACGUAGCCUUCCAAUUUCAGCAGGGAUGAGUCCAGCGACACCAAUUCUUGUGAGGUUGAGCAUGCUGAGGAAGGAAAGAUUACCGAGAUGUUGGCUGAGCGCUCCAUGGAGGGGCACAUCCACCAACCGUAGAGCCGUGACACGCGGCCGGUGGUGGCUGCACGAGACCCCGACCCAUCGACAGAAGGACACGUUGGAUGUCCAGCUGCCGGCGAGGAUUCCGAGAGGAUCAGAGAGCAGCGAUUUGAAAGCCAACAGGGCAGUGAGGUCGGUGUAGCUACCGUUAACAUUGGUUACACUUGGGCUUGGAGAUGAAGAAAGGACAGCAGGCAAUAGGAUUGGUAGCAAGAUGGCCAAAAACACUAGAGGGACCGGGUAGCUUGCAAUGGCCAUUGUUGUGUAUUUUUGGGCUGAUAGGUCAUAGGUGGCAAUGUUAUAUACUUAUAUGUAUUUUUGGGUCAUAGGUCAUAGGUCACAUGUCAAAGUCUUGACUCGUGUUUCCUUUAUUUAUUUGUCACACGGUAUAUUUCUAUGGUGGCAAAAAAAAACAGUGUCACUAUUAUCUUGACUCAUGAAGUCAGCAAAGAUCUUUUAUAUUACUAUAAAGUAAUAAACAUUUAGAGACAUUUUGCUAAAUGUGAAUCCACGAUCUCGCCAUCUAGCGAUCGACAUUUCAUGAAUAUUGCUGCCUUUUAUAUUUACACACAUAUACAAUUCACUGAACGGAACGGAGAGUGUGUGCUGUCUCAUUGGACGUUGCCAGCUUGUGCGAAGACUAGAAUAUUGGCGGUCGUUGCACGGCAAAUUCCUGUCAGGUCAUUACGGGUUAGACAAGACGUGAAGACGAUGAUGGGUUGAAUAUUCUCUAGUACCUUUGCAGCCAUAGUCUCGUAUAGGCUACCGUCGAAUGCUACUUCCUGGUCAAUAACUCUACAGACGUAAAGACUGAUGUGGAUUAGUGUUGGUUCAUUUAUAUGGUGGCCUGUUCGGCAGUUGCAUAAAUGUAAUUUUUUUUCGUUUUGAAAUUUUCUCUUCAGGGUAGGAUAUAUCGAUCUCUCAGUGCAAAAUUGAAGGAUAUAUAUGCCUGUCUCGUAGGUGACACAGGUUAUGAACCACGACUAACAGGGUAUUUCCAAAGGACAGAAGCAGAGGAGCCCAUCCUGAUCAAUGUACAAAUUAAAUUAGUGACCACACUCAUGGAAAAAAGAACGCAUUUAUUCUAUUAUGAAAAGUUAACGAAACACUGUAAUUAUAAGCUUGGAUAUGCGUUGUUAAACUGAAAACAAAGUAUUUUAUUAGCUAAAAAAAUCAAUAAACUGGAUUAUUACAAAGUAACAUGCACUAGCAGUAGAUGAUGUUCCCAUUUUUCAGAUAGUCUUUUGCAUUUGUCUCUGAAGCGGUCAAUUCUGAUUAAGUUGCCAUAUUUUCUUUGUGGCCCCUUUAUCCACCAAAUAACUGCUAGGAAGUUGAGAUCCACAUGGAGGAAAUUUAGUCAUUUACAAGAUGCAACAAGUAGUUCAUACUAUACCCGCUGCUGCUGGUAACUAUCCAGCCAACAGCUUCGUAUCCAUCGUUAAUUCAAUAGCCACCAUUCACCACGAAAACAUCAUUUCAACAGAUCAUGAUAUACACUAUGAUUUCGCAAAGAAACAAAUUUGCGCAGCUGUGAAAGAAACAUGGGGACAUUCAUACCCUGUGUUAUGUGCAUACUAAUGAAUACAGUUGAUCGUAAACAAAUUGCUGGAUGCUAACUGCACCAUCAUGGCUACACAAUUACAAAUUCGAAAGUUAUUUCAGUUAGUGAGGCGGAAAUCACAAACUAUUUUUCAUUCGUUGGAUGCUAACUGCACCAUCAUGCAGAGUUUGGAGAGCAGAGUGGAAAGACAUAAUUAGUUUCUAAUAUAACAUGAAUGGAUCAGUUCGCAACGGAUCAAGUAUUUGUCCCAAUAAUAAAUCGGCAUUGCUUCUAGGUAAAAUAUCGAACACAUGGUGUCCUGUGCUGGCACAACAAUAGAGCUAUCUGAGGAACAGAUGCCUUUGUCAGUAGCAGAUCGAAUGAGAGGAACCCAGCAGGCAGCCUGAGAAGAAGACAAGCAGAAAUUGCCCCGGGCUCUAACCGUCUAUGGUCGACCGCAAAAUCCAUGUCGUGACCGCAAAAUCCACGGCAGUGGUCUUGUCCUCUGCUUUGUGAAUCUUCAAAUGCAUUAUUUGGAUUGCAGUAGCCACCCAUGAAGAUUAACCCGGGCUCGUUCAGUUGGAUUGCAGUAUUCAAAAAUCAUAUUAGGCACAGGCCAAAGGGACAAAAACAAGUAAUGAAAAAUAAUUGGAGAUGGAACAACGGACAGAACAGUUGAAUCACACGGUAGCACUCGUCGUGGUUGCUGAUAUUAUCGAUUCUGUAUAAUCCUUUUUUAUCUUCUUGAGUGCUACUGUGACAUCCCUCAUGACAUCCUCAGGCCAGGUGAGUCACUUGAGCAGAUCAACCCCAGCUCAAAUGUCGCCGUAAGAAAGUCAUUCAGAUUGCCGGCAAAGAAAGAAACACCUUGCAACAGCCGGUCAUCAAGAACAGAGGCAAGCUGAGCUGGAAAUGCUUGACGAACCCACCACCUAAUGCUCAAAUCUGCGACGAACAUGGGAUCUGUGGGUCUCUUUCCAGUGAAGACUUCAAGGAGCAUGAUUCCAUAACUGAAAACAUCGCUCUUGCGUGAUGCCUUCCCGUAAGAUCCAUACUCUGCUCAUGAGACCGGAAACAAAGAAUUCCAGCAAGACUGAAUCAGCACUGUUAGACAAAUAUAUACCAAACAAAAUUCAGAGUCACAGUACGGAGUAUGGACGUACCUGGUGCCAUGUACCCAAGUGUUCCAAGCAUGCUUGCAGUGAUCAUAGAGCAGUCAUCACCCAAUAGCAACUUUGCGAUUCCAAAGUCCGCUACAUGUGCUGUCAUGUCUUCAUCAAACAGCACGUUGCUAGGCUUCAAGUCACAGUGCAGGACUACCUCGUGAUGCUCAUGGUGCAGAUACUCCAUUGCCAUUGACACAUCUAGCAUGAUGUCCAGCCUCUUGAGGAACCCUAAGUGCUCUAUGCUGUCAGAUUGCAAGAGCAUCUCUAAGCUACCACGGGGCAUAUAUUGAAGCACCAAUGCCUUGAACUCCACAUUGGAGCAGACAUUCAAUAUCUUUAUCAAGUUCCUAUGCCGAGCCAUGCGAAGUGUGCUGCACUCAGCAUCAAAGCUUCUAAUGGCCUGCUCCUGCUGCAUGUCUAGAACUUUUACUGCCACCGUGAAACCGGUACUAAGUUGACCUUUAUAGACCUUUCCAAAGCUCCCAGUCCCCAACAGGUUGUCGUCACUAAAAUUACUGGUGGCAAGGACAAGCUCAUGGUAUGACAGGUGCCCAUGGUACAUAACAUUUCUAGGAUCAAUGACAGAAUCUUCAACCUCUCCCUUAUUUUUAAUUUUCUUUCUAAUGGUUUGGUAGAUGAAAAUAAUAGUACACCCAAAUGCUAUGGUUACAGAAGGGAGCAGGAAUCUUAGAAAGGGCGUCGUAUUUGAGUGAG